RNAcentral lists this unclassified non-coding RNA (210 nucleotides) under Hevea brasiliensis (rubber tree). Lineage: Eukaryota; Viridiplantae; Streptophyta; Magnoliopsida; Malpighiales; Euphorbiaceae. The record is from RNAcentral.
GGUUUCCAUAUCUACUUUCAGAUCACUUUGAUUAUUCUGAAAUAAUUUCCUAGAUUCACAAGACUAUAACUUAAACAAAAAACCGAUUAAUUUCUAACAAACUAUGCAGCGACUACUUCCUGAGCAGUUAUAUAUACAGAUCACAGCAAACCUAAGACUAAAACCUUUUCAACUGCUAAAACUCACAACUGUUUCCUCCAAGAUAAUUAC